CACGUAGGAAGCAAGCGUUGUUCGGAUUUACUGGGCGUAAAGAGUGCGUAGGCGGUUGUAUAAGUCAAGGGUGAAAUCCCUAUUCUCAAGGUAGGAACUGCCUUUGAUACUGUAUGACUCGAGAGUAAGAGGGGGGAACGGAACUCUGGGAGUAGCGGUGAAAUGCGUAGAUAUCCAGAGGAACGCCGGUGGCGAAGGCGGUUCCCUGGCUUACUUCUGACGCUGAGGCACGAAAGCUAGGGGAGCGAUCGGGAUUAGAUACCCCCGUA
This 269-nucleotide ribosomal RNA is filed under the name uncultured prokaryote. RNAcentral's name for it is "partial 16S ribosomal RNA". It matches the Rfam family "Bacterial small subunit ribosomal RNA", at positions 524 to 792 of the family's 1533-position model. The record is from RNAcentral.